RNAcentral lists this ribosomal RNA (2891 nucleotides) under Escherichia coli. Its description in RNAcentral is "bacterial LSU rRNA". It matches the Rfam family "Bacterial large subunit ribosomal RNA". Lineage: Bacteria; Pseudomonadati; Pseudomonadota; Gammaproteobacteria; Enterobacterales; Enterobacteriaceae. The record is from RNAcentral.
ACUAAGCGUACACGGUGGAUGCCCUGGCAGUCAGAGGCGAUGAAGGACGUGCUAAUCUGCGAUAAGCGUCGGUAAGGUGAUAUGAACCGUUAUAACCGGCGAUUUCCGAAUGGGGAAACCCAGUGUGUUUCGACACACUAUCAUUAACUGAAUCCAUAGGUUAAUGAGGCGAACCGGGGGAACUGAAACAUCUAAGUACCCCGAGGAAAAGAAAUCAACCGAGAUUCCCCCAGUAGCGGCGAGCGAACGGGGAGCAGCCCAGAGCCUGAAUCAGUGUGUGUGUUAGUGGAAGCGUCUGGAAAGGCGCGCGAUACAGGGUGACAGCCCCGUACACAAAAAUGCACAUAUUGUGAGCUCGAUGAGUAGGGCGGGACACGUGGUAUCCUGUCUGAAUAUGGGGGACCAUCCUCCAAGGCUAAAUACUCCUGACUGACCGAUAGUGAACCAGUACCGUGAGGGAAAGGCGAAAAGAACCCCGGCGAGGGGAGUGAAAAAGAACCUGAAACCGUGUACGUACAAGCAGUGGGAGCACGCUUAGGCGUGUGACUGCGUACCUUUUGUAUAAUGGGUCAGCGACUUAUAUUCUGUAGCAAGGUUAACCGAAUAGGGGAGCCGAAGGGAAACCGAGUCUUAACUGGGCGUUAAGUUGCAGGGUAUAGACCCGAAACCCGGUGAUCUAGCCAUGGGCAGGUUGAAGGUUGGGUAACACUAACUGGAGGACCGAACCGACUAAUGUUGAAAAAUUAGCGGAUGACUUGUGGCUGGGGGUGAAAGGCCAAUCAAACCGGGAGAUAGCUGGUUCUCCCCGAAAGCUAUUUAGGUAGCGCCUCGUGAAUUCAUCUCCGGGGGUAGAGCACUGUUUCGGCAAGGGGGUCAUCCCGACUUACCAACCCGAUGCAAACUGCGAAUACCGGAGAAUGUUAUCACGGGAGACACACGGCGGGUGCUAACGUCCGUCGUGAAGAGGGAAACAACCCAGACCGCCAGCUAAGGUCCCAAAGUCAUGGUUAAGUGGGAAACGAUGUGGGAAGGCCCAGACAGCCAGGAUGUUGGCUUAGAAGCAGCCAUCAUUUAAAGAAAGCGUAAUAGCUCACUGGUCGAGUCGGCCUGCGCGGAAGAUGUAACGGGGCUAAACCAUGCACCGAAGCUGCGGCAGCGACGCUUAUGCGUUGUUGGGUAGGGGAGCGUUCUGUAAGCCUGCGAAGGUGUGCUGUGAGGCAUGCUGGAGGUAUCAGAAGUGCGAAUGCUGACAUAAGUAACGAUAAAGCGGGUGAAAAGCCCGCUCGCCGGAAGACCAAGGGUUCCUGUCCAACGUUAAUCGGGGCAGGGUGAGUCGACCCCUAAGGCGAGGCCGAAAGGCGUAGUCGAUGGGAAACAGGUUAAUAUUCCUGUACUUGGUGUUACUGCGAAGGGGGGACGGAGAAGGCUAUGUUGGCCGGGCGACGGUUGUCCCGGUUUAAGCGUGUAGGCUGGUUUUCCAGGCAAAUCCGGAAAAUCAAGGCUGAGGCGUGAUGACGAGGCACUACGGUGCUGAAGCAACAAAUGCCCUGCUUCCAGGAAAAGCCUCUAAGCAUCAGGUAACAUCAAAUCGUACCCCAAACCGACACAGGUGGUCAGGUAGAGAAUACCAAGGCGCUUGAGAGAACUCGGGUGAAGGAACUAGGCAAAAUGGUGCCGUAACUUCGGGAGAAGGCACGCUGAUAUGUAGGUGAAGUCCCUUGCGGAUGGAGCUGAAAUCAGUCGAAGAUACCAGCUGGCUGCAACUGUUUAUUAAAAACACAGCACUGUGCAAACACGAAAGUGGACGUAUACGGUGUGACGCCUGCCCGGUGCCGGAAGGUUAAUUGAUGGGGUCAGCGCAAGCGAAGCUCUUGAUCGAAGCCCCGGUAAACGGCGGCCGUAACUAUAACGGUCCUAAGGUAGCGAAAUUCCUUGUCGGGUAAGUUCCGACCUGCACGAAUGGCGUAAUGAUGGCCAGGCUGUCUCCACCCGAGACUCAGUGAAAUUGAACUCGCUGUGAAGAUGCAGUGUACCCGCGGCAAGACGGAAAGACCCCGUGAACCUUUACUAUAGCUUGACACUGAACAUUGAGCCUUGAUGUGUAGGAUAGGUGGGAGGCUUAGAAGUGUGGACGCCAGUCUGCAUGGAGCCGACCUUGAAAUACCACCCUUUAAUGUUUGAUGUUCUAACGUUGACCCGUAAUCCGGGUUGCGGACAGUGUCUGGUGGGUAGUUUGACUGGGGCGGUCUCCUCCUAAAGAGUAACGGAGGAGCACGAAGGUUGGCUAAUCCUGGUCGGACAUCAGGAGGUUAGUGCAAUGGCAUAAGCCAGCUUGACUGCGAGCGUGACGGCGCGAGCAGGUGCGAAAGCAGGUCAUAGUGAUCCGGUGGUUCUGAAUGGAAGGGCCAUCGCUCAACGGAUAAAAGGUACUCCGGGGAUAACAGGCUGAUACCGCCCAAGAGUUCAUAUCGACGGCGGUGUUUGGCACCUCGAUGUCGGCUCAUCACAUCCUGGGGCUGAAGUAGGUCCCAAGGGUAUGGCUGUUCGCCAUUUAAAGUGGUACGCGAGCUGGGUUUAGAACGUCGUGAGACAGUUCGGUCCCUAUCUGCCGUGGGCGCUGGAGAACUGAGGGGGGCUGCUCCUAGUACGAGAGGACCGGAGUGGACGCAUCACUGGUGUUCGGGUUGUCAUGCCAAUGGCACUGCCCGGUAGCUAAAUGCGGAAGAGAUAAGUGCUGAAAGCAUCUAAGCACGAAACUUGCCCGAGAUGAGUUCUCCCUGACUCCUUGAGAGUCCUGAAGGAACGUUGAAGACGACGACGUUGAUAGGCCGGGUGUGUAAGCGCAGCGAUGCGUUGAGCUAACCGGUACUAAUGAACCGUGAGGCUUAACC